AACGAACGCUGGCGGCAUGCCUAACACAUGCAAGUCGAACGAAGGCUUCGGCCUUAGUGGCGCACGGGUGCGUAACGCGUGGGAAUCUGCCCUUGGGUUCGGAAUAACUCAGAGAAAUUUGAGCUAAUACCGGAUGAUGACGUAAGUCCAAAGAUUUAUCGCCCAAGGAUGAGCCCGCGUAGGAUUAGCUUGUUGGUGAGGUAAAGGCUCACCAAGGCGACGAUCCUUAGCUGGUCUGAGAGGAUGAUCAGCCACACUGGGACUGAGACACGGCCCAGACUCCUACGGGAGGCAGCAGUGGGGAAUAUUGGACAAUGGGCGAAAGCCUGAUCCAGCAAUGCCGCGUGAGUGAUGAAGGCCUUAGGGUUGUAAACCGCUUUUGUCAGGGAAGAAAUACUUCUGGGUUAAUACCUCGGGAGGAUGACGGUACCUGAAGAAUAAGCACCGGCUAACUACGUG
RNAcentral lists this ribosomal RNA (459 nucleotides) under uncultured bacterium. Its description in RNAcentral is "bacterial SSU rRNA". It matches the Rfam family "Bacterial small subunit ribosomal RNA", at positions 29 to 507 of the family's 1533-position model. The record is from RNAcentral.